GGCUUAGAGUUUGAUCCUGGCUCAGAUUGAACGCUGGCGGCAUGCCUUACACAUGCAAGUCGAACGGCAGCACGGACUUCGGUCUGGUGGCGAGUGGCGAACGGGUGAGUAAAGCAUCGGAACGUGCCCGAUCGUGGGGGAUAACGCAGCGAAAGCUGCGCUAAUACCGCAUAAGAUCUACGGAUGAAAGCGGGGGACUCGCAAGAGCCUCGCGCGAACGGAGCGGCCGAUGUCAGAUUAGGUAGUUGGUGGGGUAAAGGCCCACCAAGCCGACGAUCUGUAGCUGGUCUGAGAGGACGACCAGCCACACUGGGACUGAGACACGGCCCAGACUCCUACGGGAGGCAGCAGUGGGGAAUUUUGGACAAUGGGCGCAAGCCUGAUCCAGCCAUGCCGCGUGCAGGAAGAAGGCCUUCGGGUUGUAAACUGCUUUUGUACGGAACGAAAAAGCCCUGGUUAAU
Molecule: ribosomal RNA, 461 nt
Filed under: uncultured bacterium
Lineage: Bacteria
Description: SSU rRNA
Rfam family: Bacterial small subunit ribosomal RNA
Source: RNAcentral